This is a long non-coding RNA of Megalobrama amblycephala (Wuchang bream), 2244 nucleotides long. RefSeq lists it as uncharacterized. The transcript has 4 exons. NCBI's taxonomy places the organism in Eukaryota, Metazoa, Chordata, Actinopteri, Cypriniformes, Xenocyprididae. The record is from RefSeq and is a predicted model, not a curated record.
CUACUCUCUGCUGUCUCAGACGAUGACAUCUUUGUCUUGUGUCGACCAGACGGCCACUGUAGCUUCUCCGAAAGAGAGGGGUGUGCGCCGUUAGUUGCAGUUCGCAACCUCACCACAGAUGCCACUAAAAUUUACACACUGCACCUUUAAACCCUUUGCCAAUUGAGCAAAAUGCCAUUAAGAUGAAUGGGAAUGCUAAUGGAUACAUUUCUCCAUUAAUACUCCUUAGGCCUUGAGUGAAAGUAUCGAAAAAAAUUAACAUUAAAAAUCAAACUUGCAAACGCUCUCACAGCAACAUACAUAUAUCUUUAAUAAAAAUCCAGACUGCCAGAAAAAGUCAAGGGUCAAGAACAUGGCUGAUGAAAAGCUUAAAUAAGUCUGACAGUAUCUUUCAUUUCUUCUGUGCCACAUUGACAAUAAUCAUCUGAAACAAGUCUUUGAAGUAGCCUCAAAUGCGCUUGAUCUGAGCAACCUCCAUUAUUUAAAGGCUUGCUAAACUUUGCUUUCUCCUCAAACACGGCGAACAACACAACAGCAUUGAAUCUAAAUGUAAAAAGCUCUGGCAGAAGUGUUUAUUUAUGAAAAAGGCAUCUCUCUGAGUGGUUUGCUCGUUGGAAAUGCGCUCUCGGAUGAUGACCUGUUCUGUGGUUAUUUUAAUGAGACUCCCAAGUCAAGGCGUCUUCUUUCAUUCAGUGCUGAGGAAAUGAAGGAAACGAGUUGGAACAUGAAUGGUAACUCACUUCAAUAUUUAGCCGUCUCACUCUCUCUGAUCUGCUUAUUAAGAGCACAAUUACCACAGACUCAGUGAACUCAGUUGAAUAAGAAUGCGUGAUUGUUUUUUUCCUCUGACAGUGAGUGUAAUCUCUUCAAAAGCACUGCACAUCAUUAGCUUCUGCUCCAGAGACGUGUAUUUUGUACAGGCAGCGGAUUUUGUUUCACUGAAACAACUGUUUCAAGCCCAAGGGACAACUUUAACAUGGGGUUAAAUUUCUAUAUCACUCACUAUACAUUAAAAACAACACAUAAAAACAAAAAAAAUAAUUUGUUAUUUUCUUUACUUACAAACUGUAGCCCACCCUCAGGCAACUCGGUGCAACACAUGCUAAAUCACUGGCACAUGACCUGCAACCAUUCCUGGACGACUGCCAUUGACUACAAGCUGGAAUGGAAGUGAUAAAACAUUGAACUGUGGGAGUUUCCACUGUACAUGCUCAGAUAAUCUGGUCUACAACCCUCACACAAACAACAACAACAACAACAAAAAUCUCCCCACAAGGUCAAAAAUGUCAGGACAGAAGAAAGCAAAGUGACAUCAUUAGAGCAGAAUGAUAUAGCACUGCUCCAGUGGAAGGGGGAUGAGGCAGGUACAGAUCAGGCAACUGGAACAUUCAAGAAUAAAUGACGGUGAGGAACGAGAGACGGGGAAAAACAGCCUCCACUGACACCCACGAGUAAAAAUUAAUUAUUAACAGGUUUGGCGAGUACUGGUGUGUUCAAAUCAUGUUAGAAUUACCAUAAUUAUGAGCUUCAACCAGGCACGUCUUUGUCAAAUUUGUAAUUAUAUGGUGCAAACUAUAAAUUUUAUGAAAGCAUCGACUUCUCUAAUUAUAACAGCUUCAACUGUAAAAAGAAUACCACUACAAAUACAUUAAUGUAUUAAUAAAGAAUUUUUACUGAAAUAUUAUUUUUAAUUAUUCUUUUGUGACUUGUUUUCCAGUUAAAAUAUCUAAAGAUUCUUAAAUCUAUUAAAUUUACCAGAGAAGCAACAAUGCAUAAGACAUUUGGGCUUUUUAUUUGUAUCUUAAAGCUGCAGUCUGUAACUUUUUUGGUCAAUUUUUGAGCAAGUACAUAACCAGCCGGUGUUCAAAACUACCUCCUUACCUUAGCCCAAUUCACAAUGGUAAGCUUGUAAUAAUGUUUUAUAUGGAUGCACCAAUACCGAUACCGAUACGUACUCGUAAAAAUACCCCCGAUACCAAAGACUGAUACCUCACGUGACAUAACUGACAGAAUUUUCCGUGCACAGAUACACAGGCGGCUGCAGCAGAAACAAUGUCAGCCUCAGAGGUGUGGAAAAUACUUCAAAAUUAAUGAUGACAACACACACAUUGCGAACUGCAUGCUUUCAAUCAUUUGUUAUCGAUUAGUGAAGACAGGAUAGGCGGAAUCGCGCUAAAUGACACAGACCAGAAGCGCGUGCUCUCUCUCUUUCUUCCACGCAAUCCCAGUUCUCUCUUAGACAGC